RNAcentral lists this ribosomal RNA (497 nucleotides) under Cyclospora sp. Its description in RNAcentral is "SSU rRNA". It matches the Rfam family "Eukaryotic small subunit ribosomal RNA", at positions 581 to 1083 of the family's 1831-position model. Lineage: Eukaryota; Apicomplexa; Conoidasida; Eucoccidiorida; Eimeriidae. The record is from RNAcentral.
AAUUCCAGCUCCAAUAGUGUAUAUUAGAGUUGUUGCAGUUAAAAAGCUCGUAGUUGGAUGUCUGUCGUGGUCAUCCGGCCUUGCCCGUAUGGUGUGCGCCUGGGUUGCCCGCGGCUUUCUUCCGGUAGCCUUCCGCGCUUCGCUGCGUGCGUUGGUGUUCCGGAACUUUUACUUUGAGAAAAAUAGAGUGUUUCAAGCAGGCUUGUCGCCCUGAAUACUGCAGCAUGGAAUAAUAAGAUAGGACCUUGGUUCUAUUUUGUUGGUUUCUAGGACCGAGGUAAUGAUUAAUAGGGACAGUUGGGGGCAUUCGUAUUUAACUGUCAGAGGUGAAAUUCUUAGAUUUGUUAAAGACGAACUACUGCGAAAGCAUUUGCCAAGGAUGUUAUCAUUAAUCAAGAACGACAGUAGGGGGUUUGAAGACGAUUAGAUACCGUCGUAAUCUCUACCAUAAACUAUGCCGACUAGAGAUAGGGAAACGCCUACCUUGGCUUCUCCUG